Molecule: ribosomal RNA, 824 nt
Filed under: Lasionectria sp. IHEM 27973
Lineage: Eukaryota; Fungi; Ascomycota; Sordariomycetes; Hypocreales; Nectriaceae
Description: partial 28S ribosomal RNA
Rfam family: Eukaryotic large subunit ribosomal RNA
Source: RNAcentral
AUUGCCUCAGUAACGGCGAGUGAAGCGGCAACAGCUCAAAUUUGAAAUCUGGCCUUGUGCCCGAGUUGUAAUUUGCAGAGGAUGUUUCUGGCAAGGUGCCUUCCGAGUUCCCUGGAACGGGACGCCAUAGAGGGUGAGAGCCCCGUCCGGUUGGUCGCCGCGCCUCUGUGAAACUCCUUCGACGAGUCGAGUAGUUUGGGAAUGCUGCUCUAAAUGGGAGGUAUACGUCUUCUAAAGCUAAAUACCGGCCAGAGACCGAUAGCGCACAAGUAGAGUGAUCGAAAGAUGAAAAGCACUUUGAAAAGAGGGUUAAACAGUACGUGAAAUUGUUGAAAGGGAAGCGCUCAUGACCAGACUUGGGCCGGUUGAUCAUCCGUCGUUCUCGGCGGUGCACUCUGCCGGUUCAGGCCAGCAUCAGUUUGCCCCGGGGGAUAAAGGUUUCGGGAACGUGGCUCCUCCGGGAGUGUUAUAGCCCGUUGCGUCAUACCCUGGGACAGACUGAGGUCCGCGCUCUGCAUGGAUGCUGGCGUAAUGGUCAUCAGCGACCCGUCUUGAAACACGGACCAAGGAGUCGUCUUCGUAUGCGAGUGUUCGGGUGUCAAACCCCUACGCGUAAUGAAAGUGAACGUAGGAGAGAGCUUCGGCGCAUCUCCGACCGAUCCUGAUGUUCUCGGAUGGAUUUGAGUAAGAGCAUACGGGGCCGGACCCGAAAGAAGGUGAACUAUGCCUGUAUAGGGUGAAGCCAGAGGAAACUCUGGUGGAGGCUCGCAGCGGUUCUGACGUGCAAAUCGAUCGUCAAAUAUGGGCAUGGGGGCGAAAGACUU